GUUUUUGAGGCUAAAAAGAAGCAAUGGACUUGUAAACCAAAAAUUGAAUGUUAUAUUCCAAAAACA
RNAcentral lists this transfer RNA (66 nucleotides) under Nectonemertes cf. mirabilis HC-2011. Its description in RNAcentral is "tRNA-Thr". It matches the Rfam family "tRNA". From Rfam's summary of the family: Transfer RNA (tRNA) molecules are approximately 80 nucleotides in length. Their secondary structure includes four short double-helical elements and three loops (D, anti-codon, and T loops). Further hydrogen bonds mediate the characteristic L-shaped molecular structure. tRNAs have two regions of fundamental functional importance: the anti-codon, which is responsible for specific mRNA codon recognition, and the 3' end, to which the tRNAs corresponding amino acid is attached (by aminoacyl-tRNA synthetases). tRNAs cope with the degeneracy of the genetic code in two manners: having more than one tRNA (with a specific anti-codon) for a particular amino acid; and 'wobble' base-pairing, i.e. permitting non-standard base-pairing at the 3rd anti-codon position. Lineage: Eukaryota; Metazoa; Nemertea; Enopla; Monostilifera; Nectonemertidae. The record is from RNAcentral.